AGAGUUUGAUCCUGGCUCAGAUUGAACGCUGGCGGCAUGCCUUACACAUGCAAGUCGAACGGUAACAGGUUAAGCUGACGAGUGGCGAACGGGUGAGUAAUAUAUCGGAACGUGCCCAGUGGUGGGGGAUAACUACUCGAAAGAGUGGCUAAUACCGCAUGAGACCUGAGGGUGAAAGCGGGGGCUUUUGUAGCAAUACAAGACCUCGCGCCAUUGGAGCGGCCGAUAUCAGAUUAGCUAGUUGGUGGGGUAAAAGCCCACCAAGGCGACGAUCCGUAGCUGGUCUAAAAGGACGACCAGCCACACUGGGACUGAGACACGGCCCAGACUCCUACGGGAGGCAGCAGUGGGGAAUUUUGGACAAUGGACGCAAGUCUGAUCCAGCCAUGCCGCGUGCGGGAAGAAGGCCUUCGGGUUGUACACCGCUUUUGUCAGGGAAGAAACGGCUCGCUCUAAUACAGUGGGCUAAUGACGGUACCUGAAGAGUAAGCACCGGCUAACUACGUGCCAGCAGCCGCGGUAAUACGUAGGGUGCAAGCGUUAAUCGGAAUUACUGGGCGUAAAGCGUGCGCAGGCGGUUAUGCAAGACAGAGGUGAAAUCCCCGGGCUCAACCUGGGAACUGCCUUUGUGACUGCAUAGCUAGAGUACGGUAGAGGGGGAUGGAAUUCCGCGUGUAGCAGUGAAAUGCGUAGAUAGUAGAAGGA
Molecule: ribosomal RNA, 705 nt
Filed under: uncultured bacterium
Lineage: Bacteria
Description: bacterial SSU rRNA
Rfam family: Bacterial small subunit ribosomal RNA
Source: RNAcentral